AGGCUAGUUAAUGGAGACAGAAUCUUAAACUUGAUCCAAUAGGUGAUACGGUACCAAUAUAGUUUUAAGUCAGGGAAAUGGUAUGAUGAAAAUGAUGUUUUUGGAAGAUUCAUCUAGCAGAGGUGACAGGAUUGAUUUAAAGAAGCUGAAGAAAAAUACUAAGGAGGUUGAAUUGAGAGACCAGGUCCAAGAAUAGAUCUGAAAGAUUUAAAACAAGUCUUCUUAAAAUGGGAGACUCAGGCUUUUUUGACAGCAUAGGAGAUGGAAGUGGUAAAAAGGGCAAGUAAGAGAAGGCUGAGGAAAAUUAUAAUAAAUGCAGGAUUAAGUUUAUUCAGAAAGUAGGCUAUAACAGGAUUCAGGGCUCUUGUUUGAAGUGGAGAGGACAUAAAAAGAAAGACAAUUCUUCCCUUAAAAGUGUUGUACAAACCAAUGAUAUUUUGCACUGUAGAGGUGCAUUCUCUCAAGUUUCUCUUGUCCAGUAUGAAAUAUAGUGGAGUUACACUUUAUGUUAUUAUUCUUAGAUCUCAUUCCUAAGAGCUAAAGUAAAUUGAAAGUUGGUUGAAAAAUUACUAAGUGAACUAUGGCAAUACUUCCAUCUCCUUUCUAAAAGCAUACAUAUUUUGGUUUGAAUUAUUUACGAAGUUAUAAAGCCAAACAUAUUUAUGUUUUCCUUAUUUUGACAUAUGGUUUACAUUUUGAAAACUUUGCUCCAGGAUGGCAUUGGAUAAAAUUAUGAUGAUAAAAUUGGGCACAACAAAAGCAAAAUCACAAAAUUUGAAACAGUAAUAGACUUUAUAAAUCAUAUAAUUACAUAGGUAGAAAAACAAUAUUUAUUGACUAUCAGGUGUCAAACCUGUUGAAGGCAUUGAAUUCAUUUAUAUAAAAAAAGAGGAGUGAAAGAAAAAUUAUUUUCUAUAGUCUGGUAGAGGAAAUGGUCAUUAAAAAUAAACACAAAUAUAAUUAUACAUUUUGAAAAGUACUUGUUAUGAAUUGUAUACUCUCCAAAAAUUCCUAUGUUAAAGUCCUAACCCCCAAUACUACAGGAUGUGAUCUUAUUUGCAUAUAGGUUUGUUGCAGCUAUAAGUAGCAAAUUUAAGAUAAGGGUACACUGGAGUAAGCUGAUCCCCUAAUCCACUACAACUGGUGUCCUUAUAGAAGGGGAAAAGUGGAUACAGAUAUGAACACAGGGAGACUGCCAUGCCGAUAUGAAGACAUAUCAGGGUAAUGACAAUGAUUUUUUGCAAACUACUAGAAGCUAGAAGAAAGGCAUGGAACAGUCUUCCUCACUCUCAGUAGGAACCAACUCUGAUGACACCUUGAUCUCAGAAUUCUAGCCUUUAGAUCAGUGAAACAAGAUAUUCCUAGUCACCUGGUUUGUGGUAUUUUGUUUAUAGCAACCCUACCAAAAUAAUAGAUAUUUACAAAGGAGAAUUAUUGGUGACACUGAAAGUGAAUAAGGGGGAGGAGGCUUAUUUUCAAUUGGAUGGACAAUAGAGACCUCUUUUAGAAGUUAUAUUUAGCCUGAUACUUGAAAGAUGAGAGUGAACAUCUAUGUGAGGCAAUGGAGGAAGAGUGAUCUGAGCAGCAGGAAGAGAACAUGUGCACAGGCCCUGAGAUAGGCACAAGCAAGGAAGUGAAAAAAGACCAGUUUGUCAGGAGGUUGGCCUGUGAAGGCAAGUGUGGCACAGGAUGAGACUAAAUAAAUUCCUUGGUAAGGACUUUGGAUUUUAUUCAAAGAGUAAUAAUGAGACUUUCAUGGCUUUAAGCCUUUAAAAAUAAAUUCUAAAUACUAUGUAGAAAAUGAAUGGUAUGGUAAGGGAAGUGGAGCAUGAGAACACCAAACCAGGUAUUCAAGCUUGGAAUAAGCUUCUGGUAAGAGACUACAGAUAAUUUGAGAAAAUACUUAAUGUUGGGAGUUAGGGAGAGUGUGUCAUAAAGAAUUACUCUAAAUUUUUCAUCUUGAGCUAUUGAGUGUUACUUAAUGAGAUAUUAUUUGGUGAGAUAGAAAAGGUCAGGGAAGAACAGAAUGAGGCAUAUUAGAACAAGAGUUCAAUUCUGGAUAUGUUAAAGCUGAGAUGCCUGUGAGAUAGCCAAGUAGAGAAGCUAAGUGAGAACUUUGUUGGACCAAAGAAAGGUCUAAUAAGGAAGUGGAGAAAUGGAAACUAAUCGAAGUAUGCAGUGACCACAGAGUACUUAACACUGAUAGUACUGCUGAAGUCUCCUGAUUCCCAGUCCUGUGUCCUGGCAAUGCCCACCCAAUGCUAUUAGAGGACCAUUUGAUUAGAAAGUAAGGGGGUACUUUUGUGGAUCAUAUGGGGAAUAAAUGCACAAGCACCUGUGUAGCAAACAAAAAGACAUAGAUGGAUGAAGAUUGGUGACAAAAUGUCAAGGGCACAGGAAUGAGUUCCAGAAGGCUUGGAAUCUACAUAAAGCCUUGUUAUAUAUUGGUUAAUUGUGCCUCAGAAAAGUGAAUUCAAGGCCUCAAAUGAUCUCUCUAAGAUACCCAGUUUUAAAAGUAGAUGACUCGCCAGCAAUUGCACUUCUGGUUACAUAGCCUAAAAAUAUUCUUCUGCAUGUGCCGUGGGAGAUACGAUAGGGAUCCUCACUAAAAACACUGUCAAAAACAGCAAAUUUAAAGGAACUUAGGUAUCCACCUAUAGAAAUGAAUAUAUUAAAAUAUGCUAUGUUUAUACAACAGAAUGUUAUUUAGCUGUUCAAACGAAUGAACUAGAGCUCUCUAUAUAAACAAAAGAUCACAAAUAUAGAGUGUUGGAUAUAAAAAUAGUAGGCGUUAGAAUGAUAUUUGAAAUAAUAUACCUGUUAUAGAGGCACACAUAGGUAAAAAUGUAAACAGGAAGGAUGCAAUUCUGGUUAAUUAUUAGAGGGAGAAGGAAACAAAACAGAUGGGCUAUAAAGAAAGCUUCAAGUCAGUGUUUUAUAUAGAAGUAUAUCUGAACUGCAUAUAACAGGUUAAAAAGGAGUUCAUUAUAUUAUUCUUCAUAUAUUAUAUUAAAUUAACUUUAUGACUCUACAAGUUAAAAUGGCUUAUUUUAAUUUUUAUCAUGAAAAGUAAGUCUCAUUUCAAUACAUUAUAUAUUUUAAUACACCAUUAACAUCCUAGAAUUACAUUUUAUAACAUGUUUUUAUUUUUCCCUUUUUAAAUUUACGCUCUCAGUUUCAGUUGUGUUAGGCACCUUCACAUCCAGUGAUAAUACUUUUGAAAGGAGGCACUGUAAGUCCAAUUUUACAAACAAUGCAUUUAAUGUUCCCAGAAGUUGAAAAUAUGCCCAAAGUCAAAUACCUGGUAAGUACAAGAGAUAAAAUUUGAAUUUGCAUUAUUUUACUGUAGGUCCUAUUUUUUCUAUUGCACCAUUGCUGACAAACCUCCAAGCUGUGAAUACUGCAUGUAUUCACCUUAUAAUCCUGAAAGUUGGUGUUUCAUUUAGUUAAUAUAUAGUUUAAAUACACUGAACACAGCAGUCACAUAUUUUGCACAUAAAUGCUGUGAAAAUUCUAGAAAUACACAUUAGAAAAUGAAAGAAUGUUAAGUAAUGUUAGGAUUUCAGACUUGUUAAUGGAAUUAUUCUUUUUGAUCAUAGGAAAUCUGGAUCCUAUGUUAUGCUUUUGUUGUUUUUUUUUUUCCUGAAUAUAUCUAUAGCUAUUACAGUUUUGUUCAUCUUUUUGGAAAUAGUAAUAUGUUGUUAUUUUUUAAUGUUAAAACAAAGAUUUUGCUGUAUUUAAGAACAGAGGGGUUUCAAUGUUAUGGAGUAUGUAACUUCACUGUUUGACUUUCUAAGAAAAGAAAGUAUAAGACAACUUCAAGAAAAAUCUACUACAAGUGUAUUUGACAAGAAGUCCAUAAUUGUAACUUUACAGUCAUUUAAAUGUUUUCUUUCUUUCUUGUCUUCUCAGCCUAUUGUCCCAGUUCCUCAUCUUACAGUUUUUGUUAUACUUGAGUGAUGAGCUCAAACCAUGAAAAGCUGUUGUUUUCAACCUUUAUUAAUGUUUCCCAACUCAUUUCCCUGUGUGCCUGCUGACAGCCUGCCAAAAUCACCCUCUGGUGAAUUGUGAAAAGAUUGGGGUAGCAGUCAUGGGACCCAAAAUGUGCUGCAGAUAAUUAGUAGAUCAGAUCUUUGUCACAGCAGAUACUUGGCUACCCACACAUCUCUAUUUUUAAGCCUUGUAUGUCAGGCAAUGUGUAUUCAUUGUCUGUUUUAGUGUGAAGAGCACAUCUCUGCGUUGUGUAUAAUAGAGCUGAGUUGAAUGAGAAAUUCCAUUAUUCUUUUGUCAUUUUGUACUGUCAGUGGUUAACACAUGAGAUAGACAUAUUUGGUGAAUAACUGAAACCACCUUUGGCUUUUAAAUAGUUUUGGAAAUAGGAAUUACCUAUUUUGCUACUUACUGAAUAAUCCAGUCACCAAAGUCUUUGUUGUCCAAUAAGGCAGGAGACAAACAUCUCCUUAGAUGAUCACAUUUGUUUUCAUGUUAAUUAGUUCUGACUAAUUUGUUUGGCAAGAGUAGUGGGUCAGGAGAUUAGUUCUUGAAUGGCACAAAAUAGGAAAGCUGUUUUAGUGUAAGGUAAGAGGUGAUAAGUUGAAGUAAAAAGAAGAAAUUAGGUUUGGGGAUGAUGAAAAUGCCAGGGUUAUCAGCAGGCUUUCACCAGAAUCGAUUACAGAGCAGCAGGUAAUGAAUUAUUAUCUGGUGAUAUGCCUCCUUUAAAAUACUAUCUAAUGGUACAGCCUCUGCACAUAUGUGGAGCGUGUGUGUGUGUGCAUUUGUAGUCAACAGAUGCACUCAACAUUUUUCCCAUUUUAUUCUACCCGUACUUCUUUAUAUGUCAACCUGUGUUUCAUUAUCAAAGGAAAUUCAUCAGUUUACACAUUGUCAUUGGUCUGAAAACAUGAGUGUUAUGUAGUCACAAUAAAAUGCACUCUAGUUACUAUAACAUUAUAACCAGAAAUGACUUCUUAAAAGAGUAAUAACAUCAAAAUUAAUCUUAAAACCUAACAAAGUAGGAAAGAUCAUGCUUCCUUCUAUAAUUAAGAAGGUUAACCUGGAGAAGUCAUACAAACUCUAAAGUUAUAGAUUAACUGUAAAAUGUGCACAAAACAACUGUUCUUCCUAUCUAACAAGAUUCUUAUUAGGUAUAAUUGAAUUGAUAUACAGAAAAUCCCUUUGAAAUUUCUUAGAUGUUUUUCAAGUGUAAGGUUAUUAAUAAUAACCUAAAUAUUGGCUCUGGUUGAUUCUUUGCUAAAUAUACAUUUAUUCAUUUUCCAAAAAUUAAUAAAUAUUUACCGUAUUUCAAAUAUGUACUAUUCUAGGUACUGAAAAGAUAGCAAUAAACAAAACAGAUGAUAAUUCCUGUCCUCAUAGAUCUUAAACUUCAGUGAGGUCUGAAACUUCAGUAAAUUGAAAUAACAAUAAUAGGUAAAAGUUCAAAUAUAUCAAUUGGUGGUAAGUGCUUUGAAGUGAAAUAAGACAAAAGGAUCUUUUAAAAAUGAGUAAUUUGUGGAGUUCCCUUUGGGGCUUAGGUUAAGAAACUGACUAGUAUCCAUGAGGAUGCAAGUUCAAUCCCUGGCCUCACUCAAAGGGUUAAGUAUCUGUUAUUGCUCUGAGCUGUGAUGUAGGUCACAGAUACAGUUCAGAUCUGGAGUUGCUGUGGCUGUAGUGUAGGCCUGCAGCUGUAGCUCUGAUUCAACCUCUAGCCUGGGAACUUCCAUAUGCUGCCGGUGC
This 5733-nucleotide long non-coding RNA is filed under the name Sus scrofa (pig). RNAcentral describes it as "lncRNA (ENSSSCG00000062765.1)". Lineage: Eukaryota; Metazoa; Chordata; Mammalia; Artiodactyla; Suidae. The record is from RNAcentral.